Gymnogyps californianus (California condor) is the source of this 2494-nucleotide long non-coding RNA. RefSeq lists it as uncharacterized. The transcript has 2 exons. NCBI's taxonomy places the organism in Eukaryota, Metazoa, Chordata, Aves, Accipitriformes, Cathartidae. The record is from RefSeq and is a predicted model, not a curated record.
AAGAAGACGAGAAACUGAAGAAGAGAAAGGAGCGGUUUGGCAUUGUGACGAGUUCAGCCGGGGCUGGAGCCACAGAGGACACAGAGGCAAAGAAGAGGAAAAGAGCAGAACGCUUUGGGAUCGUCUGAUGCCGGUCCUUUCUAGCUUCAGCCCGUUUGCAGUGUGCCUCUCGAGUGCGUGCAUUCUCCUUCUCUCUCUUUCCCCCCACUUUCUCUCACUCCCACACUGUUUCUCUAGGUUUUAGUGAUGAGUAGACAGGGAAUCCCCCGUAGUUGUAUGAUUGUGCUACUUAUUUUUUCAAGUUACAAAGUUUAAAAAUGAAGAAAAGUGAGCAAAAAGAAGAAACUGUUCUCAGUGCAUCUCCGGUAGCCCGCAGCGCCGCGGUCCGGUGGUUUCCCAGCUGCUGGUGGGGUCAUUCGCAGCAGCUCGCACCGGCGGUGCCGUCCGGCGGGGAGAGACGGAGAGUGUCCCGGUGCCCUCCCAGCGCCGCUGGGAAACGCCUGUGCCGGGGAGAGCCAAACUCUGCCCGGGGAACAGACGGGCAGAUGGAGCAACGGCGGGAGCACGGUGUCUGCUGUGCGCUGAGGAAGGGAAAACGUUGAGGAACGGAGAUGGAGCGGGGUUUGCUCUGCCCUCGGCAGUUGCUUUUCUAGUUUAAGGACUCCCGGUAUGCUGCCGAAGCAAGGACCGGUGUUGUCUGUUUGCCGUCCGAUGCCGUCUCCGCCUCUCGGGGUGCCCUGGUCCUCUCCUCCUCCUCCUCCGCCCUGCGAAAACGGGCGCCGAGGCUCAGCCGCGUCGUGGUCCCUUCCCAGCAGCUCGCUGCGUGACGCGAGUCCCGCUCUGGAUCGCUGGCGUCUUACCCCCGGCGCGGCCGGGGUCUGACAGGCUGAACGUCAGGGAAGGAUUUUUUUUCAAUUACAUUGUCUCGUGUUUUCAAAAAUGGAAGUGGCGUGUGUGAUAGCCGACACGCGGGGCCGUUUCACGACUGCCUUCCUUCCCCGGGUGAGGCUAAUGGGAAUUGUCAGAGCAAGAAUUGCCGAUUAACCCUAGAUCAAGACUGGUGUCCUAAAACAAGGAGGAAAACGUGGCAAUGCGCUUGCAAAUGCAGCCUGUUCUCACCGCUUCAUUUAUCCCGCCCUGUUAAGCCCUCGUAGCGCUUCACCUACGUUUUCCAGGUUCCUCCAAGGUCAGCGAUACGUUUCUCUCCCUAAACCACAAACCAGCAGAGUCGCUUUGCCCGAUGUCUGUUCUCAGGCUGCAUUUUAUCUUGUCCUCUCUUUGCCUCAGAGUAGCGGCCAAGCUGGUUUAACCCGCAGACUUGCUGAAGAAGCCUCAGUCUUCUCCGAGCUGCCGGGCGGUGCGGGAGAGCACCGCCGUUAUCCUGGGACCUGUGUUUUGAGCGUGGAAGUUCUCGGUAGCUGUGCAGGAACACGGUUCCUUCUGCUGCGUUACCCGUAACCCUUUCGGUGCGAUUACGGGGAAAAAAAAAUUUGGCCGAGUCACGCCGACGGCAGCGCUGCCGCAGCUUGUGAAGCGCUCCUCGCUGCUUUAGCGUUUCAGACGGCACCGUUGGUCUCGGGGGGCUGUAAAGAGCGGUUCCCCAGGCUGGGGGGAAGGAGCGGUGGCAAAGCAUAGGACCCCGAAGCCGGCGGGGCCGGACUGGCGGCGCGGGGGCAGAGGGGAGCUGCCGCACGCCCUUUCCUCCUUUGCCGGCCUAGAGCAUCAGUUUCGCUCGCAAGCGUUCGUUCCCGCUGCGUCUCCCACCCUUGUGCGGAGCUUUCCCUCCCACGGGUACCUCGGCCCCAGGCGUCGGCAGAAAUCUGUCCGUCGGCAGAAAUCUGUCUGUCUGCUUGGAUUUUUAGGUGGGCAUUGUGGCUGAAAUCCUUCUCUUGUCUGAAGACUGACCUCCUAGGGCUCUUAUUUCUGGCCGUAACCUCUUACCGGCGAGGUGUUUGCCUUGUCCGUGCUUGGUUCCUUAAGAUGCUAGAGAGCAACGGGGGGGUGUACAAAUCGAGCUUUUCAGAGGCUUAUACCUGAUUCUUAAUAAGCAAUAUAUAUAUAUUUUUUAACAUAGAAGUCUUCAAACCGCUUCUGUUCCAUUAACGUUUGCAGUCUGACUGCGUCCGCCUGCCCUCGGUGACUCUGAGCAAUACCUUGGACGUUUGUUUACCUUCCCAAAGGGCAGCUAAAAGCCACGGGGUCCGGGUUACGUCGCGUGUCGUGGGUUGUCAGUGGCUGAGUGAAUCGAAGCUCCCUUGCUCCUUCCUGAUUUAAUGUAAUAACGUUAUUCUAAUUUUUUUUUUUUUUUGUAUGUCAGAUUUUGUAAGAUGUAUUUUCUAUUUGGCUCAUGAUCUCUUUGCUGGUUAUUUGCUUGAAAUGUUUUGUAGUGUGCCAGGGCAAACACUGCAUUUCAUUCUCGGUUUCAUAAUAAAACUGCUUCUCCAAGGCAAUUCUGGUAUCUGUCAGUUUGAUGCAUGGCGCGGCCGAGGCUCGG